RNAcentral lists this transfer RNA (77 nucleotides) under Vibrio parahaemolyticus. Its description in RNAcentral is "tRNA-Arg". It matches the Rfam family "tRNA". Rfam says of the family: Transfer RNA (tRNA) molecules are approximately 80 nucleotides in length. The record is from RNAcentral. Lineage: Bacteria; Pseudomonadati; Pseudomonadota; Gammaproteobacteria; Vibrionales; Vibrionaceae.
GCGCCCUUAACUCAGCUGGAUAGAGCACGUCCCUUCUAAGGAUGUGGUCAUUGGUUCGAAUCCAAUAGGGCAUGCCA